CUUUUUAGAUCCCCUUAGUAAAGAUCUAAUGGUCACAAGAUUCAGUUUCUUUCUCCUUUUGGGCUUUAUGAUUUGGUUUAUUGAACAAAUGAAGAAUUUCAAGGUUCAACAAGACAACAAAUUGGACCAACUCUCUGGUUUGUCUUUUCAAYCCUUGUUUAUGCUCACAUGUUUGUGCUCACAUCGAGUUACAUUGUAACUUUGACUUCACUUUUAGCGGUACAACAAAUUGCAUCGAAGGAGGGGUGUAUCGGAUUUCAAGAUUUCCCCCCCAUAGCAGAAGGAGCUGUCUUUAACAGCUUGGAAUUUGCUGAGGUCAGGAAUUGAGAAAUUAAAUUCAUCUCAUGACUAUGCUAAAGCAUUAACUGAAGGUUAUAGUGUAACCAUUGAUGAGAUUCUCUACAUCAAUUCUGUUCUUGCAUUGUAUUCGGCUGUCGACUUCUCCUUGAUAGCAACAGCAUCCACCACAAACGGUUUCGGCUUUGGGUUCCGGAAAGGUUCACGGUUGGCUCGAGAGAUGUCAUUGAGAUAGCCAAGCUACGCGAAGGUGGAACGUUGAAUGCAUUGGAGGAUAAAUGGUUAAAACAUCAAUCUUCAUUGAUGUCAAAGGAUUUUUCUUCCUCAUCAUCGAACAUUUUGAUCCUUCAAGGGUUUUGAGGUUUGUUUCUUAUCAGUGGGAUGUCGAUGACGUUGGCUCUUUUGGUGUCCAUAGUUUAUCUUGUUCGUGAAAAAUGGUCUGGCAAAAAUAAGAUACUAAGGUGCAUGUUACAGACAUCCGUUGAAAUACAUAUGCAAGAUAACAAAGUGGA
Molecule: long non-coding RNA, 809 nt
Organism: Cynara cardunculus var. scolymus (artichoke)
Lineage: Eukaryota; Viridiplantae; Streptophyta; Magnoliopsida; Asterales; Asteraceae
Exons: 3
Source: RefSeq, a predicted model, not a curated record